UACGUAGGGGGCGAGCGUUGUCCGGAUUUAUUGGGCGUAAAGAGCUCGUAGGCGGUUUGGCAAGUCGGGUGUGAAAACUCCGGGCUCAACUCGGAGACGCCACUCGAUACUGCCAUGACUCGAGUCCGGUAGGGGAGUGCGGAAUUCCUGGUGUAGCGGUGAAAUGCGCAGAUAUCAGGAAGAACAUCGGUGGCGAAGGCGCUCUGCUGGACCAUAACUGACACUCAGGGACGAAAGCUAGGGGAGCGAAUGGG
This 254-nucleotide ribosomal RNA is filed under the name uncultured bacterium. Its description in RNAcentral is "partial 16S ribosomal RNA". It matches the Rfam family "Bacterial small subunit ribosomal RNA", at positions 524 to 776 of the family's 1533-position model. The record is from RNAcentral.